Molecule: ribosomal RNA, 470 nt
Filed under: uncultured bacterium
Lineage: Bacteria
Description: bacterial SSU rRNA
Rfam family: Bacterial small subunit ribosomal RNA
Source: RNAcentral
UUCCUACGGGAGGCAGCAGUGGGGAAUUGUUCGCAAUGGGCGCAAGCCUGACGACGCAACGCCGCGUGGAGGAUGAAGAUUUUCGGAUCGUAAACUCCUGUCGAAUGGGACGAAUGGCCUGGCCGUGAACAACGGCCGGGAAUGACGGUACCGUGAGAGGAAGCCCCGGCUAACUCCGUGCCAGCAGCCGCGGUAAUACGGGGGGGGCAAGCGUUGUUCGGAAUUACUGGGCGUAAAGGCUCGUAGGUGGCCACCUAAGUCCGACGUGAAAUCCCUCGGCGCAACCGGGGAACUGCGUCGGAUACUGGGUGGCUUGAAUCCGGGAGAGGGACGUGGAAUUCCAGGUGUAGCGGUGAAAUGCGUAGAUAUCUGGAGGAACACCGGUGGCGAAGGCGGCGUCCUGGACCGGUAUUGACACUGAGGAGCGAAAGCCAGGGGAGCAAACGGGAUUAGAUACCCUUGUAGUCACG